CAGAGGUGGCAAGCGUUGUUCGGAAUUACUGGGCGUAAAGGGCGCGUAGGUGGUCUUGUCAGUCAGACGUGAAAUCCCCAGGCUUAACCUGGGAACUGCGUCUGAUACUACGAGACUUGAGUUCGGGAGAGGGAUGUGGAAUUCCAGGUGUAGCGGUGAAAUGCGGAGAUAUCUGGAGGAACACCGGUGGCGAAGGCGGCAUCCUGGACCGAAACUGACACUGAUGCGCGAAAGCCAGGGGAGCAAACGGGAUUAGAUACCCCGGUAGUCCUGGCCCUAAACGAUGAGUGCUUGGUGUGGCGGGUAUCGAUCCCUGCCGUGCCGAAGCUAACGCAUUAAGCACUCCGCCUGGGGAGUACGGUCGCAAGGCUG
This 372-nucleotide ribosomal RNA is filed under the name uncultured organism. RNAcentral describes it as "bacterial SSU rRNA". It matches the Rfam family "Bacterial small subunit ribosomal RNA", at positions 526 to 896 of the family's 1533-position model. The record is from RNAcentral.